UACGGAGGGUGCAAGCGUUAAUCGGAAUUACUGGGCGUAAAGCGUACGUAGGCGGCUUGUUAAGCAAGAUGUGAAAUCCCCGGGCUCAACCUGGGAAUGGCAUUUUGAACUGGCAGGCUCGAGUUCUGAAGAGGGUGGUAGAAUUUCCAGUGUAGCGGUGAAAUGCGUAGAUAUUGGAAGGAAUACCGGUGGCGAAGGCGGCCACCUGGUCAGAAACUGACGCUGAGGUACGAAAGCGUGGGGAGCAAACAGG
This 253-nucleotide ribosomal RNA is filed under the name uncultured microorganism. RNAcentral describes it as "partial 16S ribosomal RNA". It matches the Rfam family "Bacterial small subunit ribosomal RNA", at positions 524 to 776 of the family's 1533-position model. The record is from RNAcentral.